This is a non-coding RNA of Phalacrocorax carbo (great cormorant), 1171 nucleotides long. The record is from RefSeq and is a predicted model, not a curated record. Lineage: Eukaryota; Metazoa; Chordata; Aves; Suliformes; Phalacrocoracidae.
CUGUUGGGUAGUUUCAGAAACCGCUUGUCUUUCCCAGUGAGGACUGACCUGGUGAGGACUGAACAGGACUAAAGCUGAACCCAGAGACCGCUACCUUUUGAUGUGCCGUCUUCACGCUUCACCUCCUGUGUCCGGAGUGCUGGCCUCAGGAGACCUUAUCUACGAGUCCCUCAGGAUCUGUGCGGUGCGAGACUUCAGCAGGACCCAUUGUGUCAGACACAUCACAAGAUUUCGCGGUGAGGCGUCCAGAGAGAAUUUCAGUUCCUCCUCGAGGGGCCCUUUGUGCUUCGGCAUUUGAACCUGUUCACCCUGAACUAACCGCUGGAGGUUGGCCUCCCAGGAUUUCUAGUUGGAUUGCAGGAAUCUCCCAGUCGCCGUUCUUGUUGCAAACAUCCUACCUACUGUUGGUCGUCUUGCCACCAAGCAAGCUCCUGAGGCCCAGUGAUGUUGUUCGGAUGGACCCCAUGCCACCUUCCACCCAGGCUUGCAACUUUCUGAUGAGCACAUUGGGUUAUGGACAGCAGGUUCCUAGGACGAUAAAAGGAGAGGGUUUACCUAGAGAGGAAACCAGACACUGAAAAAACAACAGUAUUUCCAAUAACAAACCUUAAGAGAAGCUGGCACUGGGUCUUCUGGAACGCUUUUGAUGCAUUUGAAUUGCCAGCUGUCUGAGGACUUUGGAUGAACCUCAUUCAAAACCUCAGCCUUCUGUGUCUUGAGGCCAUCAGAUGCACAAGAAUGAGUGGCAAACACGUUUGAGGCCAUGCAGGCACCACAGGAUGGGCACCUGGUCUGUAAAUUGUCCCUCCGGGCUGUGAUUUCUUUUGUGAGCACAGGGCCUCUGGGCAAAUUAUUGCGUAUCUGCUGACUUCAGAACAGGGACUGUAUUGCAUGAAUUGUGGGACAGGGUAGAAAUGGGGAGAGGUGAGUGUCCCCUCUGUUGCUACCUGGUUGCAAGGUGGGAAAGGUUACAAAAAUACCCUUUGGGGCACGGAGAGAACUACUGAUCUGGGGGAUUAAUGUAUCUUCUUGCCGGUGCAUCAGUGCUUUCCACCUGAAAUGACUCUAAAAUAACAAUUUGUUUUAUUAAUACAGGGUGAGAACAGAAAGGAUGCGGUGGUGAACCUGGAGUGAGCGAGCGUCAGGGCUUCCGCCCUGCAGUCUGAAAUGC